Ovis aries (sheep) is the source of this 72-nucleotide transfer RNA. It matches the Rfam family "tRNA". Rfam says of the family: Transfer RNA (tRNA) molecules are approximately 80 nucleotides in length. Their secondary structure includes four short double-helical elements and three loops (D, anti-codon, and T loops). The record is from Rfam. Lineage: Eukaryota; Metazoa; Chordata; Mammalia; Artiodactyla; Bovidae.
UCCCUAAUAGCUCAGUAUGUAAAGAAUCUGUCUGCAAUGCAGGAGACCUGGGUUUGAUCCCCAGGUAGGGAA